UACACAUGCAAGUCGUGCGAGAAGGGACUUCGGUCCUGAGUAGAGCGGCGCACGGGUGAGUAACGCGUGGGUGAUCUCCCUUGGUGAUCGGGAUAACAGCGGGAAACUGCUGCUAAUACCGGAUAAUCUUCAUGUUUAACUUCAUGGGGUAAAGGUGGCCUCUGCUUGCAAGCUACCACACCGAGAUGAGCCCGCGUCUCAUUAGCUAGUUGGUAGGGUAAUGGCCUACCAAGGCUACGAUGAGUAGCUGGUCUGAGAGGAUGACCAGCCACACUGGGACUGGAACACGGCCCAGACUCCUACGGGAGGCAGCAGUGGGGAAUAUUGCGCAAUGGGCGAAAGCCUGACGCAGCGACGCCUCGUGAGGGAUGAAGGUCUUCGGAUCGUAAACCUCUGUCAAGAGGGAAGAAACCAUUGGAGUCGAAUAGGCUUCUUUGCUGACGGUACCUCAAAAGGAAGCACCGGCUAACUCCGUGCCAACAGCCGCGGUAAUACGGAGGGUGCAAGCGUUAAUCGGAAUCACUGGGCGUAAAGCGCUCGUAGGCCGCUUGGUCAGCCAGAUGUGAAAGCCCUCGGCUUAACCGGGGAACUGCAUUUGAUACUGCUAGGCUUGAGUGUUCCAUAUGGUGGU
This 631-nucleotide ribosomal RNA is filed under the name bacterium enrichment culture clone PCE10_E9. RNAcentral's name for it is "bacterial SSU rRNA". It matches the Rfam family "Bacterial small subunit ribosomal RNA", at positions 50 to 662 of the family's 1533-position model. The record is from RNAcentral.